CUCCUGAGGGUUUUGCUUAGGAAUUUAAAAUGAUUUUCUCUAAGGAGAAGAGAAAGCAGAGAGAUUCUUUAGGCAAAGAAGUCAAAAGGGUGUCUGAAAGAUUUGAUAUUUUUUUUGUUCUCUUUCUCUCUCUAUAUCUCAGAAAGAAAGGAGAAAGUGAGAGAGAUGAAGUUAAAGAGAAGCUUAGAAGAAGAGAGAGAAGUUGAGUGAUGAUCUUCUUGAAGAAACAAACAUGCUCAAAGUAAGACGCAGAGAGAGAGAAAAAGAAGGAAGAGAGAGAUAGAGAGAGGUAUGUGUGUUGUGAAGCAAAGGCAGAAGAGAAAAAAGGAAUAAAACUAAAUCCAGGAAAAUUAAAAACAGGUAAGAGAGAGAGAUAUAUGUGUGUUCGUUCAUGUACAUGUAUGUGUAUGUGUAUGUGUGAGAUGUUGUUCCUCG
Arabidopsis thaliana (thale cress) is the source of this 435-nucleotide long non-coding RNA. RefSeq annotates it as other RNA. The record is from RefSeq. The transcript has a single exon. NCBI's taxonomy places the organism in Eukaryota, Viridiplantae, Streptophyta, Magnoliopsida, Brassicales, Brassicaceae.